This 415-nucleotide ribosomal RNA is filed under the name uncultured prokaryote. RNAcentral describes it as "bacterial SSU rRNA". It matches the Rfam family "Bacterial small subunit ribosomal RNA", at positions 505 to 918 of the family's 1533-position model. The record is from RNAcentral.
GUGUCAGCCGCCGCGGUAAUACGGGGGGAGCGAGCGUUGUCCGGAAUCACUGGGCGUAAAGGGUGUGUAGGCGUCCCGGUAAGUCUCUGGUGAAAGCCUUCCGCUCAACGGAAGAAUUGCCAGAGAUACUGUCGGGAUUGAGUCCGGGAGAGGGGAGCGGAAUUCCUGGUGUAGCGGUGAAAUGCGUAGAUAUCAGGAAGAACGCCAGAGGCGAAGGCGGCUCCCUAGCCCGGUACUGACGCUGAGGCACGAAAGCUAGGGGAGCGAACAGGAUUAGAUACCCUGGUAGUCCUAGCCCUAAACGAUGGACACUAGGUGUCGGGGGUGUCGACUCCCCCGGUGCCGUAGCUAACGCAUUAAGUGUCCCGCCUGGGGACUACGGCCGCAAGGUUAAAACUUAAAUGAAUUGGCGGGG